AUUGAACGCUGGCGGCGUGCCUAACACAUGCAAGUCGAGCGGCAGCGCGGGAGCAAUCCUGGCGGCGAGCGGCGAACGGGUGAGUAAUGCUUCGGAAUCUGCCCAUGUAGUGGGGAAUAACCAGCCGAAAGGUUGGCUAAUACCGCAUACGACCUACGGGUGAAAGCAGGGGAUCGUAAGACCUUGCGCUAUUGGAUGAGCCGAAGUCGGAUUAGCUUGNGGUGAGGUAACGGCUCACCAAGGCGACAAUCCGUAGCUGGUCUGAGAGGACGACCAGCCACACUGGGACUGAGACACGGCCCAGACUCCUACGGGAGGCAGCAGUGGGGAAUAUUGGACAAUGGGGGCAACCCUGAUCCAGCGACGCCGCGUGUGUGAAGAAGGCCUGCGGGUUGUAAAGCACUUUU
RNAcentral lists this ribosomal RNA (407 nucleotides) under uncultured bacterium. Its description in RNAcentral is "bacterial SSU rRNA". It matches the Rfam family "Bacterial small subunit ribosomal RNA", at positions 29 to 437 of the family's 1533-position model. The record is from RNAcentral.